AAAUUGAAGAGUUUGAUCAUGGCUCAGAUUGAACGCUGGCGGCAGGCCUAACACAUGCAAGUCGAACGGUAACAGAAAGCAGCUUGCUGUUUCGCUGACGAGUGGCGGACGGGUGAGUAAUGUCUGGGAAACUGCCUGAUGGAGGGGGAUAACUACUGGAAACGGUAGCUAAUACCGCAUAACGUCGCAAGACCAAAGAGGGGGACCUUCGGGCCUCUUGCCAUCGGAUGUGCCCAGAUGGGAUUAGCUUGUUGGUGGGGUAACGGCUCACC
RNAcentral lists this ribosomal RNA (272 nucleotides) under Escherichia coli. Its description in RNAcentral is "partial 16S ribosomal RNA". It matches the Rfam family "Bacterial small subunit ribosomal RNA", at positions 1 to 269 of the family's 1533-position model. Lineage: Bacteria; Pseudomonadati; Pseudomonadota; Gammaproteobacteria; Enterobacterales; Enterobacteriaceae. The record is from RNAcentral.